AUAUGUGUUCCAAAGACGAAGCGUGGUACGGGGUUUAGAGACCUUCACAACUCUAAUCUUGCUAUGUUAGCAAAGCAAUGUUGGCGACUUCUCCAAAGUCCUGACUCUGUGUGUGUGCAACUGUUGAGUGCUAAGUAUUAUCCAAAUGGUGAUCUAUUAAAAGAAGGACCAAAGAAAGGUUCUUCAUUUAUGUGGCAAAUCAUUGUUGCAGGAAUUCAUAUUUUCAAAAGGGGAUGCAUAUGGCGAAUGUGUUUGGGCUCACAUAUCAAUAUUUGGGACCACCCUUGGAUUCUCUCUAGGGAAUCAAGAAGAAGCAUUACCCCAAAGGGAGGACUAGUGUUAACUAAGGUGGAAGAAAUUACUGAUCCCCAUACGGGACAAUGGGAUGAGGUGCUCCUUCGCAAUGUUUUCUUACCUGUUGAUGUUAAAAGAAUAAUGCAAAUCCAUUUUCAUGUCGAAGUUGUGGAAGACUUUGUGGCUUGGCACUUCACAAGGUCAGGAACUUUUUCAGUUCAUUGGGCCUAUCAUCACGAAUUCGAUCAUCAGUUUGGGCACCAUUACUCCAGACCAGACAAUACAACAAGUACUCACAUAAACACGGUUUGGAAAGACCUAUAA
This 618-nucleotide ribosomal RNA is filed under the name Triticum aestivum (bread wheat). RNAcentral describes it as "partial small subunit ribosomal RNA". Lineage: Eukaryota; Viridiplantae; Streptophyta; Magnoliopsida; Poales; Poaceae. The record is from RNAcentral.